Molecule: ribosomal RNA, 468 nt
Filed under: uncultured bacterium
Lineage: Bacteria
Description: partial 16S ribosomal RNA
Rfam family: Bacterial small subunit ribosomal RNA
Source: RNAcentral
GACGAACGCUGGCGGCGUGCUUAACACAUGCAAGUCGAACGGAAAGGCCCUGCUUUUGUGGGGUGCUCGAGUGGCGAAAGGGUGAGUAACACGUGAGUAACCUGCCCUUGACUUUGGGAUAACUUCAGGAAACUGGGGCUAAUACCGGAUAGGAGCUCCUGCUGCAUGGUGGGGGUUGGAAAGUUUCGGCGGUUGGGGAUGGACUCGCGGCUUAUCAGCUUGUUGGUGGGGUAGUGGCUUACCAAGGCUUUGACGGGUAGCCGGCCUGAGAGGGUGACCUGCCACAUUGGGACUGAGAUACGGCCCAGACUCCUACGGGAGGCAGCAGUGGGGAAUAUUGCACAAUGGGCGGAAGCCUGAUGCAGCAACGCCGCGUGCGGGAUGACGGCCUUCGGGUUGUAAACCGCUUUCGCCUGUGACGAAGCGUGAGUGACGGUAAUGGGUAAAGAAGCACCGGCUAACUACGUG